GCGAGAGAUGAAGGAAGUGACAGUAUCUCGCCAGCAAGCACCGGCUAACUACGUGCCAGCAGCCGCGGUAAUACGUAGGGUGCAAGCGUUGUCCGGAAUUACUGGGCGUAAAGGGAGCGCAGGUGGUUAUUUAAGUCAAUAGUAAAAGGCAUGGGCUUAACCCAUGUAAGCUAGUGAAACUAAAUAACUUGAGUAUGGUAGAGGUAAGCGGAAUUCCUAGUGUAGCGGUGAAAUGCGUAGAUAUUAGGAGGAACACCAGUGGCGAAGGCGGCUUACUGGGCCAUAACUGACACUGAGGCUCGAAAGCGUGGGGAGCAAACAGGAUUAGAUACCCUGGUAGUCCACGCCGUAAACGAUGAGUGCUAGGUGUUGGGGGUUUAGAUACCCUCGGUGCUGUAGUUAACGCAAUAAGCACUCCGCCUGGGGAGUACGAUCGCAAGAUUG
Molecule: ribosomal RNA, 444 nt
Filed under: uncultured bacterium
Lineage: Bacteria
Description: bacterial SSU rRNA
Rfam family: Bacterial small subunit ribosomal RNA
Source: RNAcentral